This 209-nucleotide long non-coding RNA is filed under the name Carica papaya (papaya). Its description in RNAcentral is "long non-coding RNA (CPAP_LNC003144)". Lineage: Eukaryota; Viridiplantae; Streptophyta; Magnoliopsida; Brassicales; Caricaceae. The record is from RNAcentral.
UUAAAUUUUUUAUUGACCUUUGCAUGAAGCCAUUCCAAUAUAUAUCUCUUGAGAGCAGAGGAGAUACCCAGCUACCAUUGUGAAUGACCAAAUCAAUUUAAUCUCCAUUAGGGUAAGUUCAAUUCUCAUUUUGGGACAGUUCCGUAAUGAUAUUGGGUUAGUUUCAUAACGGUAUUGGGUCAGGUCCAUAAUGAUAUUGGGUCAGUUCU